Molecule: ribosomal RNA, 163 nt
Filed under: Prunus lusitanica
Lineage: Eukaryota; Viridiplantae; Streptophyta; Magnoliopsida; Rosales; Rosaceae
Description: partial 28S ribosomal RNA
Rfam family: Eukaryotic large subunit ribosomal RNA
Source: RNAcentral
CGACCCCGGGUCAGGCGGGGUUACCCGCUGAAUUUAAGCAUAUCAAUAAGCGGAGGAAAAGAAACUUAUCAAGGAUUCCCCUAGUAAACGGCGAGCGAACCGGGAUAGCCCAUCUUGAAAAUCGGGCGNCCAUGGCNUCNAAUUGUAUCGGNAAAAANCNUUG